Molecule: ribosomal RNA, 495 nt
Filed under: uncultured bacterium
Lineage: Bacteria
Description: partial 16S ribosomal RNA
Rfam family: Bacterial small subunit ribosomal RNA
Source: RNAcentral
GAUGAACGCUGGCGGCGUGCCUAAUACAUGCAAGUCGAACGCUGAAGGAGUAGCUUGCUCUUCUGGAUGAGUUGCGAACGGGUGAGUAACGCGUAUGUAACCUGCCUUGUAGCUUGGGAUAACUAUUGGAAACGAUAGCUAAUACCGCAUGACAACAGUUAUUGCAUGAUAACUGUUUAAAAUUGGCAACUUCUCCACUACCAUAUGGACCUGCGUUGUGUUAGCUUGUUGGUGAGGUAACGGCUCACCAAGGCGACUAUACAUAUCCGACCUGAGAGGGGGGACGGCCAAACUGGGAAGGAGAAAAGGGCCAGAAUCCUACGGGAGGCAGCAGUAGGGAAACUUCGGAAAAAGAAGGAAGACUGACCGAGCAAAGCCGCGUGAGUGAAGAAGGGUUUCGGAUCGUAAAGCUCUGUUGUAAGAGAAGAAAGAGGGUGAGAGUGGAAAGUUCACACUGUGACGGUAUCUAAACAGAAAGGGACGGCUAACUACGUG